This 76-nucleotide transfer RNA is filed under the name Brevundimonas sp. RNAcentral's name for it is "tRNA-Thr". It matches the Rfam family "tRNA". Rfam says of the family: Transfer RNA (tRNA) molecules are approximately 80 nucleotides in length. Their secondary structure includes four short double-helical elements and three loops (D, anti-codon, and T loops). The record is from RNAcentral. RNAcentral also lists the same sequence under 1 other name. Lineage: Bacteria; Pseudomonadati; Pseudomonadota; Alphaproteobacteria; Caulobacterales; Caulobacteraceae.
GCCGGCUUAGCUCAGCUGGUAGAGCAGCGGUUUUGUAAACCGAAGGUCACGGGUUCGAUCCCUGUAGCCGGCACCA